CCGUGAUCUGCAAAUAAAUAUUAGAUAAAUUCAAAUUUAUCCAACACAUAUAAAAAAAAAAGAGAAAAGAAAGCAGAUUAUAAAAUUCUCUCAUUCCCCACGUUGGAGAAAAAACGUUCCCCUCUCUCCCUAAAAUCUCUCCCACAUCUUUAACCACCUCUCUCCCUAAUUUAAUCACCAAAUUAGUUCAUUCUUCUUCAUAUUCACUCUCUGCAAUCAAGAAACCAGACGUCCUCUUUCAACUUCUAUUCAAGAAAUUGAGAACUAAGGAGAGGGAGUUCCUGUUCCGUCCAGUUGCAAAUCUGCAAAUUUAAGGUAUACACCUCUCCCACCCAAAUUUCCAAUGGCAUACUACUGCAUCCAUAUAUAUUUCCCCUACUGUUGCCACAAUCUGCGAUAUAUCUCCUAAUCGAAUGAAUCGAAGCAAACUAAACUAAAGAAACAAGCUUUAACUCACGAAACCAAAUUAAGAACUUAACUCAGCGGGGUGAAAUCGGGGCGGAAUCAGGGCUGCACGACCACCGACGGAGCAGCGGCUCCCGGCGGCGGCAGCAGCCUGACCCGGCGGACCGCAGCGGCUGGCGAAGCUACGGCAGCGCCGUUAACUCCGUCGAGCAGUAGCCGGCGGCUUUGUGCAGCGGCGUCGGAGCUACUGAUGAGGCGAAGGUUGGACAACGGCAGCGACGAAUCAGCGACGGCGACGGUGGGUACGCGACAGCAGCGGCGGCUGGCGGCGUGGAGUGAAUCGGAGAUUCAACGGUUUCUGUUUUGGGGCUUUCUCUUUAAUUGGGAGUUUUCGUUUUCUUGUGAGAAAAAUCGAAAGAGAGGGAGGUGAAGUUGGAACUUCGUUUCGUCAGUAGCUGCAAGUUGGGGAAGAAUACAGUAGAGAGAGAGAGGGAGGGAAGCCGACGUUUUGUUUAGAGAAGGAGAGUUGAUAUGUUUUGUUACUUUUGCAGUAAGGUGGAUAAAUUGUUGUUGGUGUAUGUGGGGCCAUUAGGGAGGGAGUAUACGUGUAAAAAAAAAAGGAUUUCUUGGGCCUGCCCUUUGUUUUUAAAAGCUAAUUGGACAACAUUAAUAAAUUGGAUGUUUUGUUA
Long non-coding RNA from Salvia splendens (bonfire salvia), 1094 nucleotides. RefSeq lists it as uncharacterized. NCBI's taxonomy places the organism in Eukaryota, Viridiplantae, Streptophyta, Magnoliopsida, Lamiales, Lamiaceae. The record is from RefSeq and is a predicted model, not a curated record. The transcript is spliced from 2 exons.